Girardinichthys multiradiatus is the source of this 412-nucleotide long non-coding RNA. RefSeq lists it as uncharacterized. Lineage: Eukaryota; Metazoa; Chordata; Actinopteri; Cyprinodontiformes; Goodeidae. The transcript is spliced from 2 exons. The record is from RefSeq and is a predicted model, not a curated record.
UUCUUAUGUUCUUCCUCUGUUAAUCUUCAUUCCUGUGUCUAUCCUCUCCAAAGGUUUCCCUCACACCAGCCCAGACUCUGAUGACCAUUUGUGGACUCACCUUCUUGUUCCAAACUCCCUGUGGACUCCAGAUCAUUACCUCCACGACCGGCUUCCUCCUUUCUGCACUACCUGUCCGCCCAGCAUUACAGCCGUCAGAGCCCUCUGGAUUGCACCUUCGCUGCAGGCAAACAAACCACAAUUCAUUCUCCGGACAUCUCUCACUGCCUUCAUUCCCCACGGACCUCUCAUCCUCCUCGUCAUGGAUCAUGCUCCAAACAUCCAAGCUCCCAGUCUCCCCGCAUUGCUGUUUCCCUCCGGACCUGAAUUCUUACUCAUCACAAUUCAUUGUACAAUAAACCCUUUAACUGAU